UUUACUCAUGAAUUUUGCACAAUUUUAGCUUGAUUAUUUGCUAGAUCUUGUGAGCAUAGAAUGUUUUGAUGUGUUUGUUAGUGUUGUUUUGAAGAUUAGAAAAGGUGAUGCCAAAAGAGGAACAAAAGCGGACAAAGAGAUCAAAAAUAAGAAAAUUGGAGCAGAAAGACAGCGCCUAGGUGCUACAAAAUUGAAGAAAAACUGAAAUUUGAACUCGAAAGACAGCGCCUAGGUGCUGCCUUCAUAUUGUUCAGGCGCCACCGUCAGAGCUUAGGCAUUGCAAAUGUAGCGCUUAGGCGCUAUAGUUAAAUUGACGUGGCGCUUAGGCGCUAUCCCCUCGCGCUUAGGCGUUGCGUCUAGGUCAUCUAGGGCACGUUUUUGGAUCGUUUUAAAGUCCAUAAAAAUCCUAAUUUCUACACAAUACGGAGGGGGGCCUAUAAAUACAUCUUUCUCAUACUUUUGAGGGAUUCCUCACAGAUUGAGAGGCAAGACAACAAAAAGGGAGAUCCAAAAGAGAAAUUCAAGGAGAAUAACACCAAGCAAUUGAAGAUUUG
RNAcentral lists this long non-coding RNA (554 nucleotides) under Olea europaea subsp. europaea. The record is from RNAcentral. Lineage: Eukaryota; Viridiplantae; Streptophyta; Magnoliopsida; Lamiales; Oleaceae.